CUUUCUAUUGAAAUUGAUUGUGGUAGUUAAUUUAUAUUAUAUAUACUAACCCUAACCCUUUCUAUUGAAAUUGAUUGUGGUAGUUAAUUUAUAUUUUUUGAGAUGUGAAUAAGUAUGUCUGCUUCACCAUCCGCCUAUUUUAUUGGGAAACUACAAAGUAGUGUAAACACUUUUUUAACGAUCCCAAUACGUAAUAUGGUGCACUUGUUAUAGUUAGGUUUUUAGUACAGCGAGGCUAGAAAAGUGACCAAGAUAUUCAAUGAGACUGUGCAGGCAUCCAGAUUCCUGACUUAAGUAAAAACGUAACAUUUUUGUUUCUUAACCUUGGAUUUCCAACCCCUUGAUGUUGUUGUUGGAUCUAAUUUUAAUAGCUAGUAUUUCAAUGGUCAUAAUAAAUAAAUAUGGAGACAACGGACAUCCUUGUUUUACUCCUCUUAAAAGUUCAAUACUUUCUAAGAAGUUACCAUUUAUUUACUAUUUUACAUCUGGGGUUGCUGUACAUAACUUUAACCCCCUCGCCCCUCUCUCCUGUAUAAGAGAUUCACCAAAAUGUAAAGUCAUCCAGGCAUUUAAAUAUACAUUCUAUUCAUACUUAAUCAGAUUGAUAAUCUUCGAUUUUUCAUAAUAUUCAAUUGUUUGAAGUAAUUGUAAUCUGUCUGAUCAGGAUGAACAAUAUCUGGUAAAAAAACCUUUUUCUAAUUCUAUGUGCUAUUCAUUUCACCAGGGUUUUGACAUCACAGGGCUGGUUAAUUGAACUCCUGUCAUCGUCCCUGUCUGCCUUUGUCCCGCUCUGUAAUGGGGAGCCCCUGUUCCUGAUGGGGACGGUUUGUCCCGAGUGCUCCACCUCUAUUGGGGAGCCCCUGUUCCUGAUGGGAACAGUUUGUCCCGACCGCUCCACCUCUGUAAUGGGGAGCCCCUGUUCCUGAUGGGAACGGUUUGUCCCGACCGCUCCACCUCUGUAAUGGGGAGCCACUGUUCCUGAUGGGAACGGUUUGUCCCGACCGCUCCACCUCUGUAAUGGGGAGCCACUGUUCCUGAUGGGAGGGUUUGUCCCGACCGCUCCACCUCUGUAAUGGGGAGCCCCUGUUCCUGAUGGGAGGGGUUUGUCCCGACCGCUCCACCUCCGUAAUGGGGAGCCCCUGUUCCUGAUGGGAACGGUUUGUCCCGACCGCUCCACCUCCGUAAUGGGGAGCCCCUGUUCCUGAUGGGAACGGUUUGUCCCGACCGCUCCACCUCCGUAAUGGGGAGCCACUGUUCCUGAUGGGAACGGUUUGUCCCGACCGCUCCACCUCUGUAAUGGGGAGCCCCUGUUCCUGAUGGGAAUGGUUUGUCCUGACCGCUCCACCUCCGUAAUGGGGAGCCACUGUUCCUGAUGGGAAUGGAGUUCCUUUCCGGAUCCCUUUACAACCAAUCAGCAUCCAGGAGCACACAGGGCCCGCGGCUCAUGACCUUGAAUACAUGUGUAGAAGGAUCAGUGUGUCGGCCCGCCAUGGCUGAAGGCCUGCAGGAUCUUUUUAAGUGGGAUUAUACUGUUUAUUUGGAUGUUCUGUCCAUGGUGCCCCAAACAUUGUAUGAAGGUGGUGGAAGGUUGGCUAGAUGAUGGGGCUGGUAUCAGGACAGGAUUGUGUGUUUUCACUAUGACCCAGAUGUAUAUGGUAGCUGACUGCAGUGUGUUAUGUGACUGCUGUGUGAUGUUGUGUUUCUGCGAUACAGACUGAAGAAGGCAGAGGAGUGCUUCAGACAAGCCAAGGAGAAGGCUACCUACAGUGUCAAACCCAAGCAUGCUUCGGGAAUCAAAGCCAAGCUGGGCAUGAAGAUUUAAGACCGUUUACUGUAGAGAGAGACGAGGAACAACCACAUUGGACUGCAUGUACUACUACAGAUGAAUCACUUAGGCUUUAGAACAAGAACCAAAACGACACACUAUUCCCUAUGUAGGGCACUACUUUAGACCAGGGUCCCAUAGGGCUCUAGUCUAAAGUAGUGCACUACAUAGGGAAUAGGGUGCCGUUUGGGACACAAGAUACUACUUUUUAUUUUUGGACUCCAAGCAGCUGUCAGUCUGUCCGUCUCCCGGUCCUCCUGCCUGCUCUAUGGGACCGACUAUGCAGGCUUCUGUUAUUAGCUCAUCAGACACACAAACAUCAACAUCCAAUCAGAAAGAAGAGGGAAGCACCAUGGGGUCAGAGGUCACAGGAUGUCAUUAUACCAGAACUAUAUUUAUAGGAUGACUUCCACAGGGAAGUAUACUAAAGCAUACCUACUGUAGAGGUACUUGGAGCCAUCUUCUCCACAGUCCUACUCCAUACUGUAGAAGUACCUGGAGCCAUCUUCUCCAGUCCUACUUCCUACUGUUGAGAUACCUGGAGCCAUCUUCUUCACAGUCCUACCCCCUACUGUAGAGGUACCUGGAGCCAUCUUCUCCAGUCCUACUUCCUACUGUUGAGAUACCUGGAGCCAUCUUCUCCACAGUCAUACCCCCUACUGUUGAGAUACCUCGAGCCAUCUUCUCCAGUCAUACCCCCUACUGUUGAGAUACCUCGAGCCAUCUUCUCCAGUCAUACCCCCUACAGUACUGAUCUGAAAUGCCAAACAUGUUACCUAUUGAAGCUUACUGUAUACCAUGACGAGAUGUGUUUUCCAAAGCAAUAUAAAUGUGUAUUAGGCUCACUGAAACAGUGUGUACAUCUUAAAACACAACCUCAUUGGACGUGAGAGAGGAGACGUGUGAAGAGAAACAGCAGAACGUGAAGAAGGAAAACGAACACAGCCGUUGUCCAGGAUACAUCCCAAAUGGCACCCUAUUCCCUAUAUAGUACACUACUGUUGACCAGGACCCAGGCACCCUAUUCCCUAUAUAGUACACUACUGUUGACCAGGACCCAGGCACCCUAUUCCCUAUAUAGUACACUACUUUUUACCAGGGCCCAUGCACCCUAUUCUCUAUAUAGUGCACUACUGUUGAACAGGGCCCAUGCACCCUAUUCCCUAUAUAGUACACUACUGUUGACCAGGACCUAUGCACUAUAUAGUGUUCCAUUUGGGAUGCCGUCUCUGACAGGUCACCGUCAACAUGUUGAUGUUCGGUGUUGUUGGUUUUAGGCCGUUGAUCCCUUAGAGUAAUUCACCCUUCUUAAUCCCAAAUGGAUGGCAGCAACCAGUCGCCUGAAUGCUCUCAUCAACAUGCAUUUGAAAUUAAAUGUGGGAUUCGGGGGGGGGGGGUAAAAAACGAAAGAGCGUUACCCAUGUUCUUUAGUCCAAGUCAAUAAUGGAUCAGCUUAGCUGGGUGUUCUUACAGCAACAUAAUGGCCUGUGUCCCAAACUGCUCCCUAUUCCCUAUUUAGUACCGUACUUUGGAUUAGGGCCCAUAGUAGUGGUCUAUAUAGGGAGCCGUUUGGCAUACAGACAUGAUGUCCAACGUUGAGCUCAACUAGAUUGUGUCCGACAGAGAAGAGUUCUCUGUAUCCUUCCUGACCAGUAGAGAGGUUUACCCACAGAAGCUCUGAUCUGAUCACUGUUCACUCAGUCUAGAAGACCAGCUGUAGAAUAGACUUCUGGCAUGUUUUACUCACUUAUCAAUAAAAACAUCACCUCAAAGACAUAUUUCUACUCUUUAUCGAGGAAAAAUAUAUGCCAAUUUUUGUGUAAAAAAACUGUAAAUGUAUAACUUAUUCCCGUUUCAUUUAUCUGACUCGGUAAGAAGACAUUUCUAAUGUAUGUGAGGACAGAGAGGGUUAUGGGAAAUGUAGUCUGUUGGUUUGACAAACAUUUUGUUAAUGUAAGAUAGUGAACAGUCCUAAAGGCAUUGUUCAUUUACAUUGAAAAGUGCAUUCAAAUUAUUGACUUGAUUACUAAAAAUAAUAUAUUUAAAAUGCUUUUAUCAAUGUAAGGUAGUAUUGUAUUCUUUGUGUAACAUAUUUUUGUAAAGAUUUUUAUUUUCUGUCCCGCAGCAUGUUAAAUCAUCAUCCUGGAGUUGUUGGAUAACGGUUUAUUAUUGUCAAAUGUUGUUAGUAUGUUACUGGAUCUCUGCUUGUUUCUGGGAGCAGCAAUGUCAUUUAUCUACAAUAAAAAUGAAUAAAUUCAGCCUUUCUG
Long non-coding RNA from Oncorhynchus tshawytscha (Chinook salmon), 4092 nucleotides. The record is from Ensembl. Lineage: Eukaryota; Metazoa; Chordata; Actinopteri; Salmoniformes; Salmonidae.